UUUUAGCCCCGAUGGAAGUGGAAAUCCUGUCAUUGCGCAACCAAAAAUUUGAUGAGAUUGCUUCGUUCCUCGCAAUGACAGAUUGAAACGAACAGCGGGAAAAUGA
This 106-nucleotide small RNA is filed under the name Flavobacterium dankookense. Its description in RNAcentral is "Flavobacterium sp. ARSA-19 Flavo-1 RNA". It matches the Rfam family "Flavo-1 RNA". Lineage: Bacteria; Pseudomonadati; Bacteroidota; Flavobacteriia; Flavobacteriales; Flavobacteriaceae. The record is from Rfam by way of RNAcentral.